Molecule: long non-coding RNA, 243 nt
Filed under: Ananas comosus (pineapple)
Lineage: Eukaryota; Viridiplantae; Streptophyta; Magnoliopsida; Poales; Bromeliaceae
Description: long non-coding RNA (ACOM_LNC043842)
Source: RNAcentral
UGGGAAUACAUCUCCAAACUCCCGCACAACGGAUAUCCUCAAUCCUAGGGGCGUCAUCCUCACCCGCAACACAAUAGUAGCCAAGUAGGCUACGCAGCCUCUACUAAUUAACUGCCUAGCUCGAGAAGAGCUAAUCGUCAUCGCAAACAGCGAACUCUGGCAUCCCGGUACACAACCUCCGCCUGCCCUGGCUCUCUAAAAGUCACCGUUCGAUUCUUACAAUCGAUAGUGGCGAGAGUACUU